GCGGAGCCAGAAAUUUUCGUCAAUGGGUUCAUUCACUAACUAGUUGUGAUUUUUUAUGAUGAACUAAGUCCUACUUUCGGACAUAUUGCAACAAGAUUAUAUCAGUCAAAGUCCGCAUAAUGAAUAUGAAUAUGAAUAUGAUAUUACUUAUCACACAUAUUUGUUACUUUGAAAAAAUUAAGAGUGCAUAACAUACAGAUCGGAUGAAAUUAUAGAUAAAGUAGUACCAAAAUAAACUUCAUAUUUCAGAUCCAACUUCUCAUCUUUCUGAAAACAUGGAAGAAAAUAACAAUAAGGGGAUCAUUAGAGAAUAGUGUAACUUGUAAGAAAACAAAAAUAGUAGGAAAUUAUAAUUUAACUAUGACGUUACCUUGGCAAAAUAGUUGGCAAUUUCCUUCUGAAUAUCUCCACUUACCCACUUGCAAUUUUGGAGCAUUCUCAAGAACUACCUUCAGUAUAUCAUCAUUUUGAUUUGCCAAAGUCUUUACCAACUCUUGAAAGUUCCCCUUUUUUUCCUCUUAUGUUUCGUCAUGGCCUCGGAAAGCUAAGCCUUGAUGGAACAAGUAUCUAACCGAAUCAAUUAAAGCAUUAAGCCGAAUUCGAUUUUGCUUUUUAGUAAGACCAGUUUGCUUAUCGAGAGCAACCUGAAUUGAUUGAUCUUUAUUCAUCAAAGAAUCACAUUGUUUUACUACUACAUUAUGAAAGCUAUUAUCAUUACCUUUACCCUCAUGGGUAUCCAGCCUACUUUUCUUGUUCCAACCCUUAAUUCCAAAUGCAUCACUCCCGGCUUGUCCCUCAUUAUUAUCUUUGAAAAAUUAGCAACACAAACAAAAGGCCUUAUGCACCUUGUCACUACACUCAAGCCAACAACCAUAAUCUUCAAACCAGUCUGGAUUAAAUCUCCGUGGAGUAUCUCCAAUGUCCCUGUGUGGAUAAACAAAAGUAGACGGAGGCCUGUAAGGUCCCCUCGUUAAAUAUCAGCACCUAAUCUCAUCUUGCUUUUUAGGAUUUCUUGUGUACUCCCAAAUUCUCUUCCGAUCAGCCGGAUUGUAGGGCAACUGAUCUAAAUCAAUGUCUUUGUGGAUAGAAGGCUUUGGGAGACUACUGGUAGCGACAUUGGAUGCACUUUGCUUACAUCUAAUGGGUAACCUCGAUGUCCCCGCAUCAUUAUCGAGAUCAGACUGCAGUUGAGCGCUUCUGCGCUAUUUGCCGUCGGGCGUGGGCGUCCAGGUGAGGACCGAAGCGACGGCCUAACGAAAUCUGGGCGAGACGGCGGAGAAAGAGGCGAGGCGAGUUGGAAAGCGACGAGGUGUGCGGCUGCCGUCCGUGUAUUCUUUGUACAGGCCUAAUAUGUGUACAUGACAUGCACGUAAGUAGCAAAUUUCAUUGGGUUCAUCUGAACCCAAUGGUUCAACGUUGGCUCCGCCACUG
Long non-coding RNA from Triticum aestivum (bread wheat), 1431 nucleotides. RefSeq lists it as uncharacterized. NCBI's taxonomy places the organism in Eukaryota, Viridiplantae, Streptophyta, Magnoliopsida, Poales, Poaceae. The record is from RefSeq and is a predicted model, not a curated record. The transcript has 3 exons.